RNAcentral lists this ribosomal RNA (451 nucleotides) under uncultured prokaryote. Its description in RNAcentral is "bacterial SSU rRNA". It matches the Rfam family "Bacterial small subunit ribosomal RNA", at positions 355 to 796 of the family's 1533-position model. The record is from RNAcentral.
UAGGGAAUAUUGCGCAAUGGGGGAAACCCUGACGCAGCAACGCCGCGUGAAGGAUGAAGGCCUUCGGGUCGUAAACUUCUGUCAGGUGGGAAGAAGGCUCGAUCGAUUAAGAGUCAGUCGAGUUUGACGGUACCACCAGAGGAAGCCCCGGCUAACUCCGUGCCAGCAGCCGCGGUAAUACGGAGGGGGCAAGCGUUAUUCGGAUUUAUUGGGCGUAAAGGGCGUGUAGGCGGCUUGAUAAGUCGAAGGUGAAAUCCCAUGGCUCAACCAUGGAACUGCCUUCGAAACUGUCUAGCUAGAGUUCGGGAGAGGGUAGUGGAAUUCCCAGUGUAGCGGUGAAAUGCGUAGAUAUUGGGAGGAACACCAGUGGCGAAGGCGACUACCUGGACCGAUACUGACGCUGAGGCGCGAAAGCGUGGGUAGCAAACAGGAUUAGAUACCCCCGUAGUCC